Molecule: ribosomal RNA, 459 nt
Filed under: uncultured bacterium
Lineage: Bacteria
Description: partial 16S ribosomal RNA
Rfam family: Bacterial small subunit ribosomal RNA
Source: RNAcentral
CCUACGGGAGGCAGCAGUGAGGAAUAUUGGUCAAUGGGCGAGAGCCUGAACCAGCCAAGUCGCGUGAGGGAAGACGGUCCUAUGGAUUGUAAACCUCUUUUGCCGGGGAGCAAAAAGCGGUACGUGUACCGCAUCGAGAGUACCCGGAGAAAAAGCAUCGGCAAACUCCGUGCCAGCAGCCGCGGUAAUACGGAGGAUGCGAGCGUUAUCCGGAUUUAUUGGGUUUACAGGGUGCGCAGGCGGCGAGUUAAGUCAGCGGUAAAAUUUCGGGGCUCAACCCCGACAAGCCGUUGAAACUGGCGUGCUAGAGUGGGCGAGAAGUAUGCGGAAUGCGUGGUGUAGCGGUGAAAUGCAUAGAUAGCACGCAGAACUCCGAUUGCGAAGGCAGCAUACCGGCGCCCAACUGACGCUCAGGCACGAAAGCGUGGGUAUCGAACAGGAUUAGAUACCCCAGUAGUC